This 450-nucleotide ribosomal RNA is filed under the name uncultured bacterium. RNAcentral's name for it is "bacterial SSU rRNA". It matches the Rfam family "Bacterial small subunit ribosomal RNA", at positions 354 to 796 of the family's 1533-position model. The record is from RNAcentral.
GUGGGGAAUUUUGGACAAUGGGCGCAAGCCUGAUCCAGCCAUUCCGCGUGCAGGAUGAAGGCCUUCGGGUUGUAAACUGCUUUUGUACGGAACGAAAAGCCUCUGGUUAAUACCCGGGGGUCAUGACGGUACCGUAAGAAUAAGCACCGGCUAACUACGUGCCAGCAGCCGCGGUAAUACGUAGGGUGCGAGCGUUAAUCGGAAUUACUGGGCGUAAAGCGUGCGCAGGCGGUGAUGUAAGACAGUUGUGAAAUCCCCGGGCUCAACCUGGGAAGUGCAUCUGUGACUGCAUUGCUGGAGUGCGGCAGAGGGGGAUGGAAUUCCGCGUGUAGCAGUGAAAUGCGUAGAUAUGCGGAGGAACACCGAUGGCGAAGGCAAUCCCCUGGGCCUGCACUGACGCUCAUGCACGAAAGCGUGGGGAGCAAACAGGAUUAGAUACCCUUGUAGUCC